Pseudoliparis swirei is the source of this 1306-nucleotide long non-coding RNA. RefSeq lists it as uncharacterized. The transcript is spliced from 3 exons. Lineage: Eukaryota; Metazoa; Chordata; Actinopteri; Perciformes; Liparidae. The record is from RefSeq and is a predicted model, not a curated record.
CUUGGACAGAGACUUCACGUCAGCCGACACACGUUUACAACGAAUUUACACAGAUCACCGACAGCCGCAGUCGACCCAGAUUCGUAACCACAGCAUGUGCUGCAACAACCUGAAGCUGCAGUGAAAGUAGAGUUAAUGUUCGACGCUUGUGCAUCGAGGAAGCGGCUGCCGCGUUUCCACCAUCUCACUGAGGAAUCCAGAGCAUCACAACGCUAAGAUAACUACAAGAUGGCUGCUCGUCUAUUUAAAUACCCCGAUGACUCUAAGACAAUGGAGAAGCAAAAAGACAAGAAACUGCGUGGCAAUAAAGACACUCUUUUUUACGAUGAAAAUGAUACUGGUGGAAGAGCAAACCUGAUUUUCUUCAGCAAAAAAGUGAGAGAAUGGCUAAACGCAAUGCAGACAAAGUAUAAACUUGAGGAAAGUAAAACCGAGACAACGUACCCAGACACCAAACACACUCCCAGAAAUGGCAGCAUUAAACAUAAACAAUUAGGACAGUUCUCCCGACCAGCCAGAGGGCGCUCUUCCAACCCAAACCAACCCAUCCAUGCCAACCACACCUGAUGAUAUAGAUUGAUAAAAUAGUAAGAAGGAAAAGAAAUAUAUAAAAUGGAUAAUUCCAAGUAACUGCUUGUUAACGCUUUAAUUAUUAAGAUUCAUUUCAUGGAUAGGUAACUAGAUUGUAAAAUCAACUACAUAUUGUUUUCUGUUUUGUUAUUCAGUUUGUAAUUUACACUACAACUUCUUUCUUUUCCCCUUGGGGAUUAAUAAAAGUGUAUGUUUAUAUAUUGGUUUAGAAUCGUGUCCCAAGAGUUAAAACUAUACUGACUACGUAUCUUCUGAUCGAGUCUCGUGACCGUGUCUGAAUGUUGUGGGGACCGUCUUGUACUCACUGAGCAGGUGGUAGUUGGAGUCCCUCUCGUAUUUGAAGGUCAGUCUUCCAUAGCUGACAUGGUUGAGAUUCUUCAGCCACUCGAAAUAGGACACCGUCACACCGCCAGCAUUCAGGUACAUGUCCUGCAGGAUGAAACGCGUCACACACACACACUAUUUGAUCUUUGCUCUUCUGUGUUUUGAAAUAUUUUUUAGGAACUUUCUCAUGUAUUUUUUCUUUUAAGAUUUUAUUUGGGAAGAACUGCAUUUCUGUUAAAUAAAAAGACACUGGAACUUUCUCAUGUAUUUUGUCUUUUAAGAUUUUAUGCUUUUGUGAAAGUGUAAAAUAAAAUAAAAAGUUAAGUAUAACACAUAAUCUGCAUAUAAAUCUGUUGCUUACACAAUAAAAGAUGGAUUUUAGUCAACAUAA